Molecule: ribosomal RNA, 373 nt
Filed under: uncultured organism
Description: bacterial SSU rRNA
Rfam family: Bacterial small subunit ribosomal RNA
Source: RNAcentral
CAGAGGGGGCAAGCGUUAUUCGGAAUUAUUGGGCGUAAAGGGCGGCGUAGGCGGCUUUGCAAGUGACGGGUGAAAUCCCUCGGCUUAACCGAGGAACUGCCUGUCAGACUGCAUGGCUUGAGACCAGGAGAGGUGAGUGGAAUUCCCAGUGUAGCGGUGAAAUGCGUAGAUAUUGGGAGGAACACCAGUGGCGAAGGCGGCUCACUGGACUGGUACUGACGCUGAGGCGCGAAAGCGUGGGGAGCAAACAGGAUUAGAUACCCUGGUAGUCCACGCCGUAAACGAUGAGUGCUUGGUGUAGCGGGUAUCGACCCCUGCUGUGCCGAAGUCAACACAUUAAGCACUCCGCCUGGGGAGUACGGUCGCAAGACUG